GACGAACGCUGGCGGCGUGCCUAAUACAUGCAAGUAGAACGCACAGUUUAUACCGUAGCUUGCUACACCAUAGACUGUGAGUUGCGAACGGGUGAGUAACGCGUAGGUAACCUGCCUGGUAGCGGGGGAUAACUAUUGGAAACGAUAGCUAAUACCGCAUAAUAUUAAUUAUUGCAUGAUAAUUAAUUGAAAGGUGCAAUUGCACCACUACCAGAUGGACCUGCGUUGUAUUAGCUAGUAGGUGAGGUAACGGCUCACCUAGGCGAGGAUACAUAGCCGACCUGAGAGGCGGAGAGGCACAGCUGGGACGGGGACACGACCCAGACUCCUGCGGGAGAGAGAAGGAGGGGAUCUUCGGGAAAGGAAGAAAGUCUGACCGAGCGACGCCGCGUGAGUGAAGAAGGUAUUCGGGUCGUAAAGGUCUGUUGUAAGAGAGGAACGGGUGUGAGAGUGGAAAGUUCAGACAGUGACGGUAGCUUACCAGAAAGCGACGGCUAACUACGUG
This 505-nucleotide ribosomal RNA is filed under the name uncultured bacterium. RNAcentral describes it as "partial 16S ribosomal RNA". It matches the Rfam family "Bacterial small subunit ribosomal RNA", at positions 28 to 507 of the family's 1533-position model. The record is from RNAcentral.